UCUCCCAAGGCAGGGUCCUGGGCUGCGUUUGGAGCGGGUUAAAAGGCAGCCCUGGGGCCUGGGCUUUUGGCCUCGAAUCAAGAUGAACGUUACACGCACGGAGGCUUGAGAGCAGGCAGUUUAAGGCAUGAAGUCCCUACUCAUGCAUGAACAGCUCUUUUAACUUUGGGGUGUAUCAUUUUCAGGGUAUUGCAGGUUCCGACGGUCUUCCUGGGGAUAAAGGAGAACUGGGUCCCAGCGGCCUGGUCGGACCCAAAGGAGAGGUGAGUGCCCGGCGACUGUUCCAAUGACACCAUCCGUGGGCGCCUGCUGGCUUCCUGCCCACCGCUGGGCAACGAGGCAGCCCUGCAGGGCACUGCCCAGAUCUGAGAUUGUAAAAAAGCUUGCUCUGGUCAAGGCUGGGCAAGACGGCUCCUUGUCGGCCGGGAAAGAGCACGUCGGGGUGGCUCUGGGCUCCUGGGCUCACCCCUGACCCACCUUCCUCUGUUUCUCUGCAGUCUGGCAGUCGAGGGGAGCUGGGCCCCAAAGGCACCCAGGGUCCCAACGGCACCAGCGGUGUUCAGGGUGUCCCCGGGCCCCCCGGUCCUCUGGGCCUGCAGGGUGUCCCGGGUGUUCCUGGCAUCACGGGGAAGCCGGGAGUUCCGGUACGUCACUGUCCCAGCUUUCACAGGGUUGGGAUCGUGUUUUUUCCUGAAGGAAGUUACUUUGCGGGGUGAUGGUGGGAAUGCCUUACAGAGGCUGCCGCCCCCAUGCUGACGAAUGUGUGGGGUGAAUUCCAGGGGAAGGAGGCCAGCGAGCAGCGCAUCAGGGAGCUGUGUGGGGGGAUGAUCAGCGGUAAGUCAGCCACCCGCACCUGCUGCAGCGGGGCCCGUCCCCACCUGGGGGUACCGUGCCUGGGGCUACACACAGAGCCUUUGCGCCACCGCUUUCCAGCCAAAGUGAGCCGCUGGCACUCACCCCG
RNAcentral lists this small RNA (961 nucleotides) under Pongo abelii (Sumatran orangutan). Its description in RNAcentral is "retained intron". Lineage: Eukaryota; Metazoa; Chordata; Mammalia; Primates; Hominidae. The record is from RNAcentral.